Molecule: small RNA, 400 nt
Filed under: Drosophila mojavensis
Lineage: Eukaryota; Metazoa; Arthropoda; Insecta; Diptera; Drosophilidae
Description: GI26199
Source: RNAcentral
UCUUCGAUACAUCGAUAUUUCCGACCAUUGCAUCGAUGACUUGAACGAAAGCACAUCGAUAUUAGUAGUUUUGGUCAGUCAAAAAAAAAACAUUGAACGGGAUGGACGCGUUUGUUGUUAUUUUUUAGUUCUUACAUUUCCGUCGUCGUUUGUUGUUUUCUUGUGUUGCCGAAGAUAUAAAUAAGUUUCUGCAAAUAAAUUACACGUUGCAAUGUGACUUAAAGGAUUACCAUAUCAGAAUUCUUCAAGAAGAUUUAUUUAUUUUUAUUGGUUGGUCAUGACGACCAUGGCAGAGGAUGGGCAUGGCACUGCUUCUAUGAGGUGUUAAUUGGACUCUUCCCGCUGCUCAAAGCACGCAAAGCAAAACACAAAAAAAAAAAAAAAAAAAAAAAAAAAAAAA